Molecule: unclassified non-coding RNA, 439 nt
Filed under: plant metagenome
Description: partial contains small subunit ribosomal RNA, internal transcribed spacer 1, and 5.8S ribosomal RNA
Source: RNAcentral
UUUCCGUAGGUGAACCUGCGGAAGGAUCAUUUCCGAAACAAACAUCCUUACAAACCCACUGUGUGCAAGCCCUGUAAGUUUCAAGACAGUCCAUGAGACUACUUGAAAUUACUUUUUUACCCACACAUGUGUACAUGCAUGGUGCCUUUGCAGCCCAUGUUUCUGUGUGUGUGCGUGGGUACAAGAGGCGCACUUGUAUGCGUUGCACUGCUCUCCUUUCUUUUUUGAGAGAAGCUGUAGUGUGAAUAGUCUAUACUAAGUGUGUCAUCGCCUUUUUUGAACCAGAUACCAACCUCGAAAGCUGUUUUUCUUGCGUUCCACAAAGAUAGGCCCCAUUGUACUAUAAUAUACACAUUUCGUACAAAUUAGUUGCAUAGCAGCUUUUGAGGAAAAAAUAAUAAAUGCUCGAAAACUUUUAACGGUGGAUCUCUUGGCUCGU